UGGAGUUGCGCUUCUAUACUUUCAAAAGCACGUGGGGAGCUUUUAUAUUUGUAACUUUUUAACCGCUGGAUUAUCUCAAAAUUUAUACAAUAUUCACAUAAUAAAGUAUCCCAUUAAGUUUUCUAUAGUAAUACCGUACGAAUUUUAAGACAGUUCGACAGUUAAAAAAUUACAAGCAUAGAUGUUUCUAUACUUUUAAAAGUACUGAAGCUCAACUCAAAAAUCAUGAGUUUAAAGAAACUAUUUACUUGCACCAUACAGUCUUAAAAAUUAAAAGUAC
Molecule: long non-coding RNA, 280 nt
Filed under: Ananas comosus (pineapple)
Lineage: Eukaryota; Viridiplantae; Streptophyta; Magnoliopsida; Poales; Bromeliaceae
Description: long non-coding RNA (ACOM_LNC036194)
Source: RNAcentral